This 585-nucleotide ribosomal RNA is filed under the name uncultured bacterium. RNAcentral describes it as "bacterial SSU rRNA". It matches the Rfam family "Bacterial small subunit ribosomal RNA", at positions 338 to 916 of the family's 1533-position model. The record is from RNAcentral.
CCUACGGGAGGCAGCAGUGGGGAAUUUUGGACAAUGGGCGCAAGCCUGAUCCAGCAAUGCCGCGUGAGUGAAGAAGGCCUUCGGGUUGUAAAGCUCUUUUGUCAGGGAAGAAACGGUGGGGGCUAAUAUCUCCUGCUAAUGACGGUACCUGAAGAAUAAGCACCGGCUAACUACGUGCCAGCAGCCGCGGUAAUACGUAGGGUGCAAGCGUUAAUCGGAAUUACUGGGCGUAAAGCGUGCGCAGGCGGUUUUGUAAGUUUGUCGUGAAAUCCCCGGGCUCAACCUGGGAAUGGCGAUGAAGACUGCAAGGCUAGAAUCUGGCAGAGGGGGGUAGAAUUCCACGUGUAGCAGUGAAAUGCGUAGAGAUGUGGAGGAACACCGAUGGCGAAGGCAGCCCCCUGGGUCAAGAUUGACGCUCAUGCACGAAAGCGUGGGGAGCAAGCAGGAUUAGAUACCCUGGUAGUCCACGCCCUAAACGAUGUCUACUAGUUGUCGGGUUUUAAUUAACUUGGUAACGCAGCUAACGCGUGAAGUAGACCGCCUGGGGAGUACGGUCGCAAGAUUAAAACUCAAAGGAAUUGACGG